AUUCGCCCACCUACUGUGCCAACAUGGCGGCGCCCAGAUCGUAAUUCGGAAAACGUGCACCCUGACUAAUUCGGUUUUCUGUGGCUACAAGAGCAGGCUUGGCGGGCGGAGGCGCCAGCGGAUGUCUCAUGCAAGGAUCGUCUCUGUGGCUAAGCCUCACUUUCCGCUCCGCCCGGGUGCUCUGUAGAGCCCGGUUUUUCGAGUGGCAGUCCCCAGGGCUGCCGAAUCCAGCAGCGAUGGAAAACGGCACCGGGCCCUACGGAGAAGAACGCCCACGUGAAGUCCAGGAGACGACAGUCACCGAGGGGGCUGCCAAAAUCGCCUUUCCCAGCGCCAACGAGGUCUUUUAUAACCCGAUGUGCUGUGAUCACCGAGUUUGCUCGCAUUCAGCUUGGGGCCAAAGGAAUCCAGAUCAAGGUGCCAGGAGAGAAGGACACUCAAAAAGUGGUCGUGGACUUGUCAGAGCAAGAGGAGGAAAAGGUUGAACUGAAAGAGAGUGAAAACCUGGCUUCAGGAGACCAACCUCGCACAGCGGCCGUGGGGGAGAUCUGUGA
RNAcentral lists this small RNA (554 nucleotides) under Pongo abelii (Sumatran orangutan). RNAcentral's name for it is "processed transcript". The record is from RNAcentral. Lineage: Eukaryota; Metazoa; Chordata; Mammalia; Primates; Hominidae.